CUUUCUCGUAAAGUUAUUUAACUAACUCCUGUAGUUCUUUUCAGUUUAAUCUCUGAAAGUCCUCUACGGAGGACACAUUGAUUAUACUUAUUUUUCCAGCCCGCUUUAGGACCUCUGAGCUUGCUCAAGCCCUUCGGCACUGUGUCAUCGGUAUUACACUGCCUCCGAUCGACGCGAACUUUC
Molecule: small nuclear RNA, 183 nt
Filed under: Blumeria graminis f. sp. tritici
Lineage: Eukaryota; Fungi; Ascomycota; Leotiomycetes; Helotiales; Erysiphaceae
Also listed under: 1 other name
Description: U2 spliceosomal RNA
Rfam family: U2 spliceosomal RNA
About the family: U2 is a small nuclear RNA (snRNA) component of the spliceosome (involved in pre-mRNA splicing). Complementary binding between U2 snRNA (in an area lying towards the 5' end but 3' to hairpin I) and the branchpoint sequence (BPS) of the intron results the bulging out of an unpaired adenosine, on the BPS, which initiates a nucleophilic attack at the intronic 5' splice site, thus starting the first of two transesterification reactions that mediate splicing.
Source: Rfam by way of RNAcentral